RNAcentral lists this transfer RNA (536 nucleotides) under Microcoleus autumnalis UCFM_PAS. RNAcentral's name for it is "Phormidium autumnale UCFM_PAS partial 16S-23S ribosomal RNA intergenic spacer". The stretch from base 236 to 308 matches the Rfam family "tRNA". The record is from RNAcentral. Lineage: Bacteria; Bacillati; Cyanobacteriota; Cyanophyceae; Oscillatoriales; Microcoleaceae.
UAGGGAGACCAUCUGAGAAACUACCGAACCUAAACAAGAGGUAGCAAUCAGUAUCCCUGGUCGUUCGAGAAAUAGAUGUCAAAGCUUUCAAACUAUUAACUGGUUCGGGAAAUGGGCUAUUAGCUCAGUUGGUUAGAGCGCACCCCUGAUAAGGGUGAGGUCGGUAGUUCGAGUCUACUCAGACCAACCAAUUCACUGCAAGUCAGCUUGACAAUGAAUUUACCAAUUUUAGAUUGGGGUUAUAGCUCAGCUGGGAGAGCGCCUGCCUUGCACGCAGGAGGUCAACGGUUCGAUCCCGUUUAACUCCACCAUUACUCAAGAUUGAUUCUGAAAGUAAAAUUACUGUUUGAAAACUCAAAAACAAAUGCUUUUGUAUGAAGUAUUUCUUUUUGAGCUUUAUGCUCGAAGUGCUCUUUAACAAAUUGGCAAGCUGAUAGAAAGAAAAAACAAGGUAACAAUAUUUUUUGUGAACCUUAUCACACCUACGAUUCCAGACAUUUUGGGGUUGUAUGGUUAAGUGACUAAGCGUACACGGU